AUCUUUAGAGGUUUCCUACUUUGGAAACUUGAAGAGAACCUAGGAGCACUCAUUCUAUCAAAGUGGAGGAGGCAAGGAGGGAAGCUAGGCUCAAGGAUUUCAAGGAGCAAAGGGCUUGGAGGUGGUCCAUCCUUGGUCUCAAGUCUAGAUCAAGAGGUAUAAGACUAACCUUCACUUUGUUCUUGAUUCUUUAAAAUGUUUUGAUGCAUUAUAUAUAAACCUAUGAACCUUGAAGGGGAUUUGCAUGACUAUAACUUUGAUAAUAUGUUAUAAAUGCUUCCGCUGCUUUCGUAUAUUCAAUAUGAUUUGUAUAUGCAUGAUAGUCUAUUUGAAAUCCCAUUCUAGUAUCUCAUAAUUUUCCCUUCAAGUGGUAUCAGAGCCAAUGGUUUAUGUAUAAUGUGUCCUUUUGGAUUUUAUGCAUAUGGGUAUUAAUAUUAUGCAUGACAUAAUUAUUGUUUCAUUCAAAGUAUGUUUAUCUUUUGUUUUUCAAUAGUUGAAAAAUGUUAGUCAAAAGUUGAGAAAGAUAUGUUUGCAAAAGUGUUUUGUAUGCAUGAAUGAAAAAUGAGUUUAAGACUAGUAUGACAUAUUAUUUCUUCAUUUGAAAGUAUGCUUAUCUUUUGUUUUUCAAUGGUUGAAAAAUAUAAAUCAAGAGUUGUAAAAGAUAUGCAUGUAAAAGUUGUUUUGUAUGCAUGAAUGAAGAAUAAGUCAUGAACAAAAUUUGUGGUUUUGUUACUUAGGGUAGGCACGGUUUUGGGGUGGUUUUGAGCAUGUGUUUGUGUUUUAUUGUAAGACACUCACACAUCAUUUUAAAGCUAGAAAGUAGAAACCUUGUCACUUUUGUUUUUGGGUUUGAAAAAUCACCAAGAAAACACAAAUCUUGAAAAAGUGUUCAUGGUUUUGUUCUUGGUGUUCAUAAUUGGGUUUUGGGUGAAAAUGGUUUUAUUUGGUUUUCAUGCAUGGUUUUAUGGUUUUGGGUGAUGUUCUUACCAUCCAUAACUAUAUUAAAACUUAUUAAAACCCUAGACUUGUCUAGGAGAUUUCCAUCAAACUUUUUCAUUAAAGCCAUUCAAUGCCAAAACCAAGUGACAAGCAAAAUUGUGAUUUUUUCUACUUUGCAUUAAAUUUGUGCAUGUGGAUGAGACUUCCCCUUCCCCUUUAAUGGCCGGCCACCCUAGUGGAUUUAUCCACUUGAGGGGUCUUUUGUAAUCUUUGAAAAGUUGAUAUUUUAUACUUUUGAGUAUUUACGUUUUUACCCCUAACUUUUCAUAUUUACAUUUAGGCCCUUACUAACUAGAAAGUUAAAAUAUUUGAUUUUAAUUUUGUUAGUUGUUUAAACUCAUAAUUAUAUUAUGCCCAUAUGCACUAAAUCUAAAUGUCUAUGUUGCAUUCCUUUAUGAUUAUUUAAAUGUGUUUAAGUAGUUAUGAAAUAGAUGAUUUUGGACUUAUGCCUUAAACGAUAAUUGAGCUAUAUGAUAAGGCGCUAAAAUCAAAUUGUUUGAACCUUGGGAAUGUGUUUUUUAAUUACUGUUUAAUUGGACCUUGUCACGUUUGACGUUAAUCUAUCUCUCCCCUUUUAGUACAUGUAAUUUAUAGGAAUUUGUACAAAUCGGUUUGUAAUUCUUAUUACUUCUUAAUCUCUAUUCGUUAGUUGAUUCCCUCUAGUGCUAGACUAGAGUUUCUUUAACUAUUGGUAAGGACACAUAAUUAAAAGAGGGUUUUGACAUGAGAUUAAAGAUUAAAAGGGUCCAAUGCCCAAAUUAGCAAUGGAUGAUUGUCUUUCAUUUCUAAUGGCUCAAUGAAAAUGGUUUUAAUUGGAUUGAUAAGCACGUAAUUAAAUUGACACCACCUCGCCGAGUUUAUAUUCAACAAUGUUGGCUCGUUGUUGCAAUAACCUAAUAAGUCCAUGGUCAUCCAAGAGCCUAAGAUAACUAUAAAGUUCAAUUUCAAAGGAAUGCAAAAACCGUAGUAAUAGUAGUUACUUCCAAUAUUUGAAAAAAUUCGUUUUUGAUAUUGAUUUGUUUUUCUUAAAACAAAUAGUGGGAGUAUCAUACGCUACUAAACUAUAAUGAAUUCAAUUAGUAGUUAUAUAUAUCUCCAAUAUUAUGAAAGAUGUUUUGAUUUUGAUUUGUUUUAUGAAAACGAAUAGUGGGGAUAUCAUAUGCUACUAAUUUCAUUAACUUUGGACUAGUAGUUAUAAUAGGACAAUUUAUUUGAAUAUGAUUAAAUAAAUAAAAUUGAUGAGACCUUAAAAUCCCUCAACCAAACAAUAUUAAGUUGUAAGCGUAAGAGUGC
This 2292-nucleotide long non-coding RNA is filed under the name Malus domestica (apple). Its description in RNAcentral is "long non-coding RNA (MDOM_LNC015566)". Lineage: Eukaryota; Viridiplantae; Streptophyta; Magnoliopsida; Rosales; Rosaceae. The record is from RNAcentral.